RNAcentral lists this ribosomal RNA (411 nucleotides) under Verrucomicrobiota bacterium. RNAcentral describes it as "Verrucomicrobia bacterium partial 16S ribosomal RNA". It matches the Rfam family "Bacterial small subunit ribosomal RNA", at positions 355 to 776 of the family's 1533-position model. The record is from RNAcentral. Lineage: Bacteria; Pseudomonadati; Verrucomicrobiota.
UGGGGAAUCUUGCGCAAUGGGGGAAACCCUGACGCAGCGACGCCGCGUGCGGGAUGAAGGCCUUCGGGUUGUAAACCGCUUUCAGCAGGGACGAGGCCUUAUGGUGACGGUACCUAACCAGAAAGCCACGGCUAACUACGUGCCAGCAGCCGCGGUAAUACGUAGGUGGCAAGCGUUGUCCGGAAUUAUUGGGCGUAAAGCGCGCGCAGGUGGUUUAGAAAGUCUGAUGUGAAAGCCCACGGCUCAACCGUGGAGGGUCAUUGGAAACUAAUAAACUUGAGUGCAGGAGAGAAAAGUGGAAUUCCUAGUGUAGCGGUGAAAUGCGUAGAGAUUAGGAGGAACACCGGUGGCGAAAGCGGCUUUUUGGCCUGCAACUGACACUGAGGCGCGAAAGCGUGGGGAGCAAACAGG